Molecule: long non-coding RNA, 2074 nt
Filed under: Ictidomys tridecemlineatus (thirteen-lined ground squirrel)
Lineage: Eukaryota; Metazoa; Chordata; Mammalia; Rodentia; Sciuridae
Description: lncRNA (ENSSTOG00000030736.1)
Source: RNAcentral
AUGAGCCCGCUGUCACCCGGGGGAAGAGAAAGAAAGGAGGAAAGGAAGGGGGCGCCCGAUUACCCGCAGGGCCCUCCCACGUCCGCACUCCGGGCGCACAGGGCCCGAGCAUCCCGCGCCCAGGCCACCCUCUCCCCGGAGCCUCCUGCGCAGCGGGGGCGCAGCCCACACGCCUGCGGGGGACGCCGUAGGGGCGCAGAGACAAGCUCAGGGCUGAGAGCCAGGAACCACUUACCGCUGCAAAACGAACUCAGCAACAGCGCUGCCACCAAGGGCCACAUCUCCGCGCCGCCCGGGGGUCGCCGCCGCCGCAGGUGUCUGGAACAGCCGCCGCCUCCGCGGCCGUUUAAGGCAGGACCAGCAGCCUCCACAGCAGUCACAGGAAUGGGAGUGGCACAUCAUGGUGUUCAUCACCAAUAUCCAGGAAACCAGAGAAGGCUUGUCAUGAGUAAAGAAGAAAGGAAGAGAAGCCUGGGAGGAAACAUUCUACACCACUGAGAAGUCUAAGGAAGGUUCAGCAAGGCCAUCAGGAUUUCUCCAGACAAAAUCUGCUAUCAGAUUAGUCUAAGGAAGGUUCAGCAAGGCCAUUAGGAUUUCUCCAGACAAAAUCUGCUAUCAGAUUAGUCUCCCAUCUCCCAAGAAAGGAUGUGUCUGUGUAUCUGUUUCAGCUCUGCUGUGGACUGGGAGAAGUCUGUGGGAAGAGUAGCCUGGGCACAAAUGCAAAGUUGGCUUUUAGAUCCCAAUCCUGGGUCUGCAGGAAGAGAACUCGUAGUGAUUCUCAUGGCUGCCUCACUGCAGGGUCCCUCUGAAUUCUCCAGGUGACCCUCUUACACAUUAUUGCAGGAGUAUGGAGGCCCACCUCUUAGCCUAACUCUGGACAUUUUGGAGCAUCCCAAAGAGGCUUUGUCAAGACUUGACCACAGCUCAGCCUCUUAUUCUGCUCAGUUCUGCUUCCCUCUCUUCACUGCUCGUGUGACUGAACUUGGAAGCACUCCCUGAUCAAACUCUUAUGCACCCACUUACAAGUGCUGCUCCCAGCUCUCACUACCUCCUAAGAGAUGGAAUCCUCACAAGGCUAUGAGGUAGGUGCUAUCACACCCCCAUUCUAUCCAUGAGGAAAUGGAGGCACAGAGAGUGGCUCAGUGACUGUCCCAAGGUACUCAAACAGCUGGGAAGUGAAAAAUGCUUGCCUCCCAGGUCGGCAUUCUGACUCCCUGACACCCCCUCAUCUGCCACUUACUGCGUUUCUCUGUGACACAGAGAUUCCUGUUAUCAUACCCAGUAUCCUAGUCCUAAAAUAAUUUCAGAUUGCUUUCCUAAACAAAGAUGUAGAGGAACUUCCUCGAGAUUUAGCAUUGGAGAGGAUUUGUCAUUAUUGUGUAAGAAAGGUAUUGUAGGUAAAGGCAGUUCUCACCUGAAUCUUUAUUCUUUCCUAUAGCUUUAGCCCUAACCUACCCAGUUUUUCUCCAGGAACAUGAUACACCUGCCACUCCCAGUCUGCAAAAGGAAAGAAUAUAUGUAGCACAAAGGACGAAAUGAGAGAUAAAUAAGCUCCUCUUUCCUGAGACAUGAGCGAGUUCUUAUUCCCUGACCUAUUUGAGUGCAUGCAACAUUCAAAGCUUGUAUAAUGUAGCUAAAUCAGCCUAUUUAGUAUUUAUGCAAUCUGCUCUGUUUUCAACAAGCUCUUAAGAUGUGACUUUUCCAGAAAUCUUCCAAAAUCUGCAAGGUUGCAGCAGACAUCUCUCCAGGGAGACUGAAGGAAUUAUCAAGAUCAUGGCUGCAAUUUAAAGAAAAUCUUUGCACUCUGAUGAGACUCUCAUGUCAAUCAUAGGAUGACCAACUGACCUGGUUUUCCCAGGGUGGAAAACUUUGACUGGAUAUGAGACUUUCUUUGUUGAAACUGGGAGAAUUCUGGGCAAACUGGAACAGUUGGACACCGUAGAAUGGACCCUUUAUGACUCAGCCAUGUUACAUACAGGAAACAUCUGCCUCUCUAUUGUAGAUACUUUCUAUUAUUUCAAAAAAUAUUCAUAUGUUUUGAUUAAUGAUAAAAUUGCCUAUAGAAACUAUGGAA